GGGGUAAUAGCUGAUAUGUAUUGUUGUUUCCAAGUUAUGGACCUUAUAAAUUAUUUUCCCCUGCUUUUGUUUGAAGAUUGUGGAGGUUGUUUCUCGUUUAUUGAAUGGCUGAGAUGUCUAAAAACUUAUUUAUUUGUUAUUUUCAGUGGUUAAAAGGCUGAUAUUGUGUUCAUCUCUGAUGCAGGAUAUCGUGGGGGUUGGACGGAUCUCUUUGUACCCAUUCUUUCAUUUUUUGUUUUGGAACAUUAUUGAUCUAGAGAGAUUUUGCAGAGCGCUGGGUUGAUUUUAGUUGAAGGGCUUAGAUUGGCCCUAGAUCAUAUUUACAUGUACACAUUGAAUACAUUCCCUUGCAUAUAUUAGAAGCUAUUUUUGGUCGUCAUUCUUGAUUGGUUUUAUAAGAUGAAUGAUUUUUAGAAUUUUAGGUAGUGCCAUAGGGGUGAUUCAACAAUUAAUUUUAAUCACACAUUUCAAGGGACCUACGACUUUUCAACCAAUCAUUCCAUCAACUUCGAUUAAAAUUUACCAAAAAUCUAAUUUUAAUUCCCACCAAACAGGGGCUAAUUUUAUGUUGUAAAUCAUUGGAAAUUUUGGUAGGAUGUGAGCAUUGUGGAAACGGGGCCGACUUUGCCAUGUCUCCUGGUCACAAGGAGCUUUACUACAAAGUUUCUCUUUCAUUGGGAUGGCUAAUAAUGGAAAUGCAUGGAUUGACUUCAACUGUGAAUCCAGCAGCCAUGUAAAUAUGAGGUUUUGAGUUGGUAGACCACAUUGGUCAUUGCGUUUGUUUUAUAAUUCUAGUUCCUUUUAUACAGUGGAGGACAAAUUCGAAUUUGUUUCUUAAUGGUGUAACUUUCUAUGGUUAUAUUAUCUUACAUGUAAGUACUGGGAGAAAGUUACAAAUUUAUGCAGGGUUUGUUGAUUUGAAUGUAUGCCUAUGGGCAGUUGAGGGAGCUUGUAUGUUCUUUGACACAAUUUAUUGAAAUGAACAAUGGCUUCUUGCAGGAGUCAUUUUUUCUGGGCACUAGCCAUUUUGCUUAGAUUAGGUCCACUUCAAACUGCAAAAUUGUCUAGGUAUGCCAAAUGCCUUUACCGAAGGUAACUGAUAUGAUGAUCGUGUGAGUUGGCUACUUGAAGUUCAUCGUAUCCUGUCAACAUUUCUUGAGAGAGAAGACAAUGCUCAAGGCAAGUUUACAUGCAACUCAAAAGAGACUCAAAAAUUUCUUAAACGUUUGAAAGAGUCUAGGUUGAUUGAUUACUUAUGAACAUUUGAAAUAGAUUUAGAUUUUACGAGGUGGAAGUGUGUAGUUGUGUAUUAUUGAAAAGCAGCAUUUAAAUUUCUGUCUUCUAUGAAUGACUUUUAUCUCCUAAGUGGCACACGUUCUGGGGAACAACUUAAGAACAAAGAAGUUUUUCUUCUUGAUGAAUUUGCUUCGGACAUGUUUUCAUGAUUUUUACCCAAAGAAACUUUAUUUUGUCUCUUAUAGGGAUUUUGAAUCCAAUGGCCGUUGAUGCAAGAGAAAGCUCAUCUCUGAAUCUUGUGCGGAUACAACUGUUUGCAGUUCUUCCAAGAUGCGUCUCUGCACAUUUUCUGUGUCUACCAGAUAUGGGUUCUGAUCUCUUCAUUAAAAUAUUUCCUUCAAUACUAUUUUGCUUAUCGCUUUCUGUCAAGUCCAAUUCUAUCUGAAAAAGAAUGAAAUUUGUCAUUCAUGUCUAUGCAACUAAUCGUUUUCCAUUUUCCCUGGCAUUUGGUGCCAGGCUGAAAUUUUUUUCAGUUACUCCACUCUGCUCGUUCCAUUGUUGCUCAUUGUAGUAUAUUUUCGUCUCUCAAUGCCAAAACAACAUAAAAAAUGAUUAUGUUUUGGUAUUUACACAGAUAUUCCAACUACGAAAAAAUAAAGGGGGUAUUGCUUUGUUCAUAUAAUCUGUUUCUAAUUAUGAUGAUGAUACCAAAUUUUUCUUUCUAAUUGUAAAUACCUCCCUGUAUAGCAAAGUGGCCAAAUUCUGGAAAAUGCUUGUAACGAGGACUAGAAUUGAAAGAGAAGAGGAGACGGGAAAGAGGAAGAAUGACGGAGCAGUUAAAGAGGGAGAAAUUGUAGUUUAUUGAAUAUUAAAGUGGGUUACAAUCAAAGGCCUAUCCAUACUUAUAGUGGGACUUCUAGUAGAUGAGGAAAACUAUUAAACAAAUAGAAGGAAAUAAAAGAUAAUCUCUCGACAUAAAAUAUAAAUUCUCUUCCUAAAGUAAGUGUCUUAGAUUGGUAAGUCAUCAAGGGAAUAUCCAAGAUAAAGACCAUUUGAAGAGGAGAGUGGAAUCUCGAUGAAAUGAGGAUAUGCUCAAGCUGCCCAUUUCUUGAGAGGGUAAACUGCACGAACUUUUCUUUCACUCUUCAUCCCCGUCUCUCCCUCUCUAUGUAGGAUAAUGAUGAGGAUAUAUUGCCCUUGUUUGAGCCCCAUUUUGAGGGAAAAAAUGAAUUUUUGAAUAGUGUAUUGAUGGAAAAUGUGUGGUUAAAAAAUAAGGAAAAGUUUUGAAUUUGCGUGUAAUAUUAUCUUAUUGAAGAAUGUGUGGUUGAAAUGAUGUCAAAACACUGUAGAAGAAUUUAUUUUUUCUAAAGAAUGGGGAUCAAACAAGGGUAUUAUAAAGUAGAAACAUAGUGAGUGACACAUUUUGGCAGGCAAAUAUUGAAUUCCAUUAUCGUAAUUUAUACGGUAAAAAGGAAAAUUUUUAGGUAGAAACUCAAAACGAAGUUUUUUAAUGAUAGAAAAACCUUUUUGCUUUUGGGGCUCGACUUGUCUAGAUAGAGACUUCAAACGGUCUCCAUUUUAACAUUUUGUAUGGUGAACUAGGUCGAAAUAAGGCACUGUGCGACAUAUUGAACUGGCUUAUGUCAUGCCGUGCAAGCUUCUUAAUGAGUUACACAAAAUUGAUUCAAUUUUCUUAUAUUUAGAGUCUAAUUCAAUAUUUUCACCAAAACGGUUGAGGGAGCAAAAUGUACCAUGUGUUAUUUAUAUAUAUUAGAAAGAAGACAAGUGAUGAGUGCAAUAGCACCUCUAAAGCAUAGUUUUCGGUUUGUUCUUGGGCACUUUUGUGCGUUUUGAUGUGUUUGUUUAUGUUGUUCCGUAGUUUAGGUAACGUAGUGAAAACGACAUAUUUUGGAGCUUGGAAUGGAGCUAAAUUGUUGAUCAUGGAAGUGGGCAUGGAGUGAAGAUGAAAGAAGAGAAAAAUAAAGUGGAAAAGAGGCAAGAAAAUGAGGCCAAAUGCAAAGGAAUCAUAUAAGAGCUACAGCGCCGCACGUUGGUGCCUAGGCGCCCAAGAAACGGCCAGAAAAUCAACAGAAACCCCAUCUCGCCUUGAAACGUUAAGGGACUAUAAAAAUAACCUAAAGACCUACUUUUGGAGGAGGAUAUAGCUUAAGAGGCAAGGAAACAAGAGAUUGCUUGAGAGCAAUUGGGAAAAGAAUUCAAGCGCGAAACCAGUUUUUCUCAUUCAUUUCUUUUCCAUGUCCUUAAUAUUAGAUUGGAUUAUGCAUUUUCUCUUAUUCAUUAACUAAUUUCUAGAUCUAGGGUUUGAUGUAACCUAACUUGGAAUAUGU
RNAcentral lists this long non-coding RNA (3584 nucleotides) under Olea europaea subsp. europaea. The record is from RNAcentral. Lineage: Eukaryota; Viridiplantae; Streptophyta; Magnoliopsida; Lamiales; Oleaceae.